GUGCAGUGCGAGACGUCGAGCGUCAGCGGCAUAUUCUUCACCGUUUUCGUCCCCGUCGCCGUCGACGACGUCGCCGAGCCAUCGGGAACAUACGUGAGUGAACGAGCGACCGACGUGAGAAGAUGCGACGACCACGACGACCCGUAUCCUACUGCCUGUCGACUCGUAUCGAGGCGACGCGUUCCACCCUCGUUUCCGACCGGCGACGUGGUGAGUUCGACGUGGUGAUUUUCUCCUCUUCGCAUUUCGUCACCGCGGCAUCAUUUCUCUCUUAUCUCCCAGUUGGAAGAAUUGGAAGAACUGAGCUCACUUUAAGCGAUCUCAAAAAGCGUAUAUUCCUGUGUUCCGGCAAUUAGCAAGAGGAACUUGAAUCUAAAUCUCAGCACUUCGUUUCCGGCGGAUUCAUAGAAAGGCAGACCUGGACGUCGUCAACGUUAGGAGAAAAUUCGUCGUUACUGAUUAAUCAUUCGAACGUGAGAGCUUUUUAAGCAGACAAAGGAUUCCUCCGACAAGGAAGAAUACCGGCCAGAGGGUGCUAAGGGGAUAAAAGGAAGAAAUAAUCACUUUAUCACGCGUAUACAGAAAAAGUGAGAAAUAACAAUGGCGGGCGAGGACACGCAGAUCUUGUCGAACGGUAACGUGGAGGAGCUCACGAUCAUCCCGCCGAAGAUGACGAACGGAAACGGGCUGAUCUGCGGCGACAAGCAGCACAAUAACAACGGCUCGAUACCGAAUGGGAAGUUGCACGGCGGGAUCGGCGGUACGGAGAACGGCAAUCUGAUCGUGCCGGAUGAGAGGUCGAGCAGCCUUCAUACGGAGUUCGACGACGCCGACGUGUCCUGCGGAUGGGGCCCGUGCAGGCCCCAGUGGCUGCAGUACUUCGCUACGAAGCAAGCCUUCCUAGUGACCUUCUGUCUCACUUGGGUGCUUCAAGGUAUGUACUACACGUACUUCGUCUCCGUCAUCACGACAAUAGAGAAGCUCUUCCAAAUUCAGUCGAAGACGACAGGUAUUAUCAUGUCGGCGACGGAGAUCGGCCAGAUCGGGUCCUCUCUGUUACUGACGUACUAUGGCGGCCAAGGUCACCGGCCCAAGUGGAUAGCCUGGGGCAUGAUCCUCUUCGCCGUGAGCUCGUUCACCUGCUCGGUACCCCACUUUAUCUACGGCAAACAGCUGAUUCUUCAAAACGACAUGCUGGUCAGCGGCGUCGGGACCGGCGCUGAGAGCCGCGGGCCCAACAGCACGGAUCCGAUACCGGCGAAUCUCUGCAAGUUCCAGGAAAGGAACAGCACGUUAGACGGGUGGAACAUAUCGACAACCACACCCCAAACCGAUUCGUCUGAAUAUUGCAAAGGUGACUUUCUUAUGGAGCAGAGAAUACAGAGCAAGAUUACCACGGUGGUGCUUGCGAUAUUUUUUGUAUCGUUACUCGGUGUUGGAAUGGGUCAAACGGCGGUAUAUACCCUUGGUAUACCGUAUAUCGAUGACAACGUAGCCAGCAGAGAAAGUCCCUUAUAUUUUGCGAUCACUAUCGGAGUACGAAUUCUGGGUCCAGCGUUAGGUUUUAUCCUCGGUUCCUUGUGCACGAGAGUCUACGCGGAUCUGUCGAGAAAUCCGCAGAUUACGCCAUCGGAUCCAAGAUGGGUCGGUGCUUGGUGGCUUGGACUAGUAUUAAUCUCGGCUAUGCUAAUGAUGGUCAGUAUAGGUAUGUUCGCAUUUCCAACCCGUUUGCCAACAAGCCGAACGUCCCCUCGACGAACGGAUUCUCAAAAACCCAGUUUGAGAGAUUUCCCCAAUGCUGUAAAAAGGCUCUUGAAGAACGAUAUUCUGAUGUUCCGAACAGCAAGUAGUGUGUUACACAUCCUGCCGAUCGCCGGUCUCUACACCUUCCUGCCAAAGUAUCUCGAGAGCCAAUUUCGCCUACCGGCUCAUGAUGCGAACCUGAUCUCAGGUGUUGGCGGAAUCCUAGUAAUGGGAUUGGGCAUCAUAAUUAGCGGCGUGUUUAUCUUGAAGGCGAAACCCAAUGCCAGAUUUGUCGCAGCCUGGAUCGCCUUCACCGCGAUCGUUUACGCGAUCGGUAUGGGGGUGUUAAUGUUUAUUGGUUGUCCGAUGGACGACUUUGCCGGACUCGUGUCACAUCCCGACGGACUCUCUAGCUUCGAGCCGACCUGUGAGGCUACCUGUGACUGCGAUCGGAACAAAUUUAGUCCAAUUUGCGGCGUCGACGGUAGAACGUAUUUCUCUGCGUGUCACGCGGGCUGUUCGAAUUAUACGGUUGCUGACGGCAAAGUGGCAUCGUUUUACAAUUGUCAAUGCAUCGGACAGAACGUAACGAUAUUACCGGAAGCAGAAAGCACAGCGUCGAUCGGUUACUGUCAACUGGAAUGCAGUAACUUUUGGGUUUAUAUGAUCCUGUUCUCGGUCUUCGUUUUUAUACACUCCACGAGCGAGGUGGGCUCAAUGUUGCUCAUUCUACGAUGCGUAGAUCCCAAGGACAAGGCCAUGGCACUCGGUCUGAUACAAUUCGCCAUCGGGUUGUUUGGCAAUGUUCCGUGUCCUAUCGUUUAUGGUGCUGUGGUAGAUUCCGCUUGUCUCGUGUGGGAAUACGCUUGCGGUGAGCGAGGCGCCUGUUGGCUUUACGAUUCAAACGUCUUUAGAAUGUUCUAUCACGGUACAACAGGCGGAAUUCUCAUACUGGCCUUCGUGGUGGAUAUAGUCGUCUGGUACAAGGCCGGGAGCAUAAGCUUCGUGGAGGAGCAGGAGGGUGAGACAGGAAGACUGAUAUUGAAGGACAACUCGGAUGAUUUUGAUUCGGUAACUCGGAGAACCAAGGCUCAGUUAAGCGAUGAGGAGAAAGACAAAUUUGAGUAGAGCAUAAAAAAGUAAUCAGCACGGGAUAGGGAAGACACGGAAGAGAGGGGAGACGUGAAUACUACUUCGUCUGAGCAUCCACAACGUAAUAUAAAUCUCUCGAGUGCGCCUUGGAAAAGUUAGUAGGGUUUCUCUCUCAGGGAGGCUUGUCAGUGAUUAUUUCCGAAAACACGUAAAAAACAAAAGAGACGGAGGAAAACUGCCGAUCAUUCCAUUCAAUCAAUCGUUGCGAUAGAGAGGCUUCUUCUUCACGGUUGGAACGCAUAAAGAGCAGGCAAAGGAUAUAUGAUUAUAUACGUGUAAAAAGUGUAUACUUCGCGUACGUAGGUACGUAAUGUACAGCUUAAAUCGUCGAUUCUGGUCAGUCGGUCCUCGACCGCUCACAAACGAACGUACGCGCUCGCGUGCACCUCUGCUUUAAUCCUUGCGUGUGUUCUCUCUAUUGAUGUUCUGAAAAAAAUCGCGAUGACUGAUGCGCCGGGUUUUCGCACGGGCGCCUCGCGAAGGUAGAAAUUAUCCGCGAAGCAUUACAGAAACGAAGCGCCGAGCGAACGAUACAGAUCUAAACUGCAACGCGUAAAUUUCAAAAAAAGAGAAAAGAAAUCGAUGGAAAUUUUGUAAUCAGUUACAAUCUUCUUAUUAAACUCGAUAAAAAUCGUGAUUAAACAAAAGCUAUUGUGCUAUUUUAUUAGUUGCAUAGGUCGAAUGAUUGCUAAUUAAUAAUUGUUCACUAUGAUUGUAGAAAUAUUUCCCUUAAAAGACAUACAAUCAUUUCUAAAAUUGUUAUUACAUAUUGCUUGUAUUAACAAAUCUAAAUUACAAGAGAAAUAUUUCUACAAUUAUUGUAUUAUCAUAAAAAUUAUAAUUAUAAUUAUAACAAAUCUAAAUUAUAAUAAAUAUGAACACGUUUUAGAUCUAUAUUAUUCUCGGCGUUUCUCGAACACAAAUGUUUAUCUAAGGGUGAUUAAUGGAUUAAAAACUAUAAAGAGUAACGUAAGUGUAGCGUAUAUUGACCGUUAAAAUCAGAAAUGUAGGAAUAGCGAGAUAAUAAGUUAUAUAGUGUAAAAUGCUAAGGAUUAACGCAGCAAACGACUACCUCCUAAUAUAUUGUACAUCUCGUUAUUGUUAAAACAGAACUCAUUAUCGCUAAUUUGGUUCGAGACAAGCUUUGCCAGCUAAUGAAUGAUUAAUCAUUGCAUCGAAAGAUUAAUUACUUAUCUCGAUGCUGGUGACUGUUUUGACAAUAAUUCACAACGUACGAACGAAAUUCGAGUAUGCUCCGUAAAUUAGCGAUAUAUUUUUAUGUAUGUAAGAAUGUCGCAUCCUUGAAACACGAAGACGUUCGUUUUGAGCGGCCCGAAACAAUCCUUGUUCCUUUACACAGUUUAUUCUCGAUUUACGAUAUUAAUAGAUUCUUGAGAAGAUUAUUAUUGCAUAUCUAAAUAAAAUUUCGUAAAAGAAAAGAAUUUUUUAAUUUAAAUAAUAAAUUUCAAUUUUAUUAUACAUAAACAUUACGUAAAAUAAAUGUUUACAAAGUAUUAUUUUAAUUAGUUUCAAAUUUUAGUGAGCUGAAAAAUAUACAGGCUGUCUCAGUUAUAUUAUAUUAUUAAAUCUAGAUUUCUCUAAUUAUUGUUAGGAAUAAUUUAAUAACGCAAAUCGAGAUAUAAUAUGAAUCGCAUUUAUUUGUUCCGCUUUUAAGAAUCGAUAAAACACACAUAUACAGACACUGUUAUUACAUUUGGAACUCUUGGAUCUCGGUUGACCUGUUAAGCACUACCGUCCGUGUGUUAUACUUGCGCAUAAAGUACUAUUAUUAUAAAUAUAAUAGACGUUAUGUAUAGAUAUCUGUAUAAAAUACCAUAACUGGCGAAAGUUUCCAGUGAUGCGAAAGGAAAAAAAAAUGAAAAUGGAGGAAGAGGAGAAUAAGCGAGAGGUCGACGAGAUCGAAAGCGAAGAUCGAUAUUUUUAGAUAAUUUGACGAAAACGGAAGUUAGAUGAAACAAAAGUAACGUUAAUUAUGAUUAUCAUUAUCAUCGUUAUGAUUAUCGCAUUGGAAUGCUAGGGUGGCAUAAUGCGCGGAAUGCGAAUCACUUAUACAAAAAAAAAA
Wasmannia auropunctata (little fire ant) is the source of this 4978-nucleotide RNA transcript. It is a transcript of the gene named solute carrier organic anion transporter family member 4C1, with no coding region annotated. The transcript has 16 exons. The record is from RefSeq and is a predicted model, not a curated record. Lineage: Eukaryota; Metazoa; Arthropoda; Insecta; Hymenoptera; Formicidae.